UUUUUAAGGUGUCCAUCAUUCGACUAUCCCAUUCAGUGCCUCCACCCAUGUUGUUUCUGAAACCAAAGAUGUAGGAGAAAGAGCAGAUGUAUGAAUCUCUAUAAGCCAAAGGAUACUAUAUACUAAUAUAUUACUGAAAAAUGCGUCAAUUUAUCCAACUGCAGCAUAUAGAAUGACACUUGAGAGAGAAAUAACAAACAAGUUUACAUUUUUCUGCGUUACAUCACGUCUAAAUACAUGCAUUCCCCCUCUCUUUUAGGUUAGAUUACAUGGAAGGUUAUUGUAGAAAUGCAUAAGAAUGGUCAAUUGCGCCACGACUACCAAUUUAACUAUUUAGUUCACAAUUUCACCAAAUGAGGCUAAGAACUGGAACCAGUGUAUUGUGAUUGUCUGAAUGCCUGACAGCCAGUUUAAAAAAAAGGAAAUUAUGACUUUUAAAAGAGUACAGUAUCCUGCCUUAGAGAAUUUUUCCAUUCACCAGAGAAAAUAGUUAUUGUAUAAGUGUCAGACAAUCCAAUGUAUGUAAGCACUUCACCAAAAGCUUAGGGCCUUUUCAUUUUUUUUUUCCUUUGCAAAGACAGGCCUUUUCAUUUGUUAUUUCCACUUAUAUCUACCUACGUACCACCUUUUCACUUUACUUUGUGUUUUCAAAGAAUUGCAAGUGAAACUUCUAUUUUUUUAUUUGCUUCCUAUACAAAUCUUUGAGAAUAGAAAAUAGAGAGGUAAGACAAGACAACAUCAACAUGUUUGUAAUUAAAAGUGAAAACAGAAAAGGUUUCUUCAAAGCAAACAAACUCUUAUUAUUCUUACAAGUAAUAAUAAUUUGAACCGUGAAGCAUAAGAACAUUGAUGGAGAAAAAAAGGCUCUGAAGAUACAAU
RNAcentral lists this long non-coding RNA (879 nucleotides) under Medicago truncatula (barrel medic). Its description in RNAcentral is "lncRNA gene16285". Lineage: Eukaryota; Viridiplantae; Streptophyta; Magnoliopsida; Fabales; Fabaceae. The record is from RNAcentral.